This 292-nucleotide ribosomal RNA is filed under the name uncultured prokaryote. RNAcentral's name for it is "partial 16S ribosomal RNA". It matches the Rfam family "Bacterial small subunit ribosomal RNA", at positions 505 to 796 of the family's 1533-position model. The record is from RNAcentral.
GUGUCAGCCGCCGCGGUAAUACGGAGGGUGCGAGCGUUAAUCGGAAUUACUGGGCGUAAAACGCAUGCAGGCGGCCUGUUAAGUCAGAUGUGAAAGCCCGGGGCUUAACCUCGGAAUUGCAUUUGAAACUGGCAGGCUAGAGUCUUGUAGAGGGGGGUAGAAUUUCAGGUGUAGCGGUGAAAUGCGUAGAGAUCUGAAGGAAUACCAGUGGCGAAGGCGGCCCCCUGGACAAAGACUGACGCUCAGAUGCGAAAGCGUGGGGAGCAAACAGGAUUAGAUACCCCAGUAGUCC